GACGAACGCUGGCGGCGUGCUUAACACAUGCAAGUCGAACGGAAAGGCCCUGCUUUUGUGGGGUGCUCGAGUGGCGAACGGGUGAGUAACACGUGAGUAACCUGCCCUUGACUUUGGGAUAACUUCAGGAAACUGGGGCUAAUACCGGAUAGGAGCUCCUGCUGCAUGGGGGGGUUUGGAAAUUUUCGGCGGUUGGGGAUGGACUCCGGGCUUAUCAGCUUGUUGGUGGGGUGGUGGCUUACCAAGGCUUUGACGGGUAGCCGGCCUGAGAGGGUGACCGGCCACAUUGGGACUGAGAUACGGCCCAGACUCCUACGGGAGGCAGCAGUGGGGAAUAUUGCACAAUGGGCGGAAGCCUGAUGCAGCAACGCCGCGUGCGGGAUGACGGCCUUCGGGUUGUAAACCGCUUUCGCCUGUGACGAAGCGUGAGUGACGGUAAUGGGUAAAGAAGCACCGGCUAACUACGUG
Molecule: ribosomal RNA, 468 nt
Filed under: uncultured bacterium
Lineage: Bacteria
Description: partial 16S ribosomal RNA
Rfam family: Bacterial small subunit ribosomal RNA
Source: RNAcentral